GAGCGGCGAACGGGUGAGUAACACGUGAGUAACCUGCCCCAGACUUUGGGAUAACCCUCGGAAACGGGGGCUAAUACCGAAUAUGACUUCUGNNCGCAUGACCGGGNGUGGAAAGUUUUUCGGUUUGGGAUGGACUCGCGGCCUAUCAGCUUGUUGGUGGGGUAAUGGCCUACCAAGGCGACGACGGGUAGCCGGCCUGAGAGGGCGACCGGCCACACUGGGACUGAGACACGGCCCAGACUCCUACGGGAGGCAGCAGUGGGGAAUAUUGCACAAUGGGCGGAAGCCUGAUGCAGCGACGCCGCGUGAGGGAUGACGGCCUUCGGGUUGUAAACCUCUUUCAGCAGGGACGAAGGGUGACUGACGGUACCUGCAGAAGAAGCGCCGGCCAACUACGUGCCAGCAGCCGCGGUAAGACGUAGGGCGCGAGCGUUGUCCGGAUUUAUUGGGCGUAAAGAGCUCGUAGGCGGCUUGUCGCGUCGACUGUGAAAACUUGGGGCUCAACUCCAAGCUUGCAGUCGAUACGGGCAGGCUAGAGUUCGGUAGGGGAGACUGGAAUUCCU
Molecule: ribosomal RNA, 563 nt
Filed under: Actinoplanes sp. 410A07
Lineage: Bacteria; Bacillati; Actinomycetota; Actinomycetes; Micromonosporales; Micromonosporaceae
Description: bacterial SSU rRNA
Rfam family: Bacterial small subunit ribosomal RNA
Source: RNAcentral